UAGGGAAUCUUCCACAAUGGACGCAAGUCUGAUGGAGCAACGCCGCGUGAGUGAAGAAGGUUUUCGGACCGUAAAGCUCUGUUGUUGGUGAAGAAGGAUAGAGGUAGUAACUGGCCUUUAUUUGACGGUAAUCAACCAGAAAGUCACGGCUAACUACGUGCCAGCAGCCGCGGUAAUACGUAGGUGGCAAGCGUUGUCCGGAUUUAUUGGGCGUAAAGCGAGCGCAGGCGGAAGAAUAAGUCUGAUGUGAAAGCCCUCGGCUUAACCGAGGAAUUGCAUCGGAAACUGUUUUCUUGAGUGCAGAAGAGGAGAGUAGAACUCCAUGUGUAGCGGUGGAAUGCGUAGAUAUAUGGAAGAAUACCAGUGGCGAAGGCGGCUCUCUGGUCUGCAACUGACGCUGAGGCUCGAAAGCAUGGGUAGCGAACAGGAUU
Molecule: ribosomal RNA, 431 nt
Filed under: uncultured bacterium
Lineage: Bacteria
Description: partial 16S ribosomal RNA
Rfam family: Bacterial small subunit ribosomal RNA
Source: RNAcentral